Molecule: long non-coding RNA, 221 nt
Filed under: Marmota monax (woodchuck)
Lineage: Eukaryota; Metazoa; Chordata; Mammalia; Rodentia; Sciuridae
Source: RNAcentral
CUGCAGAUAGAUAGCUAACCCAUUCCCUCAAUAAAGACAUUAAUCCAUUCAUAAGGGCUCCACCCCCGUGACGCACACAUCUCCCACUAGGCUCCACCUCCCAACCCUGCUGCAUUGAGGAAAUAAGGUUCUGACACAUGAAUUUUGAGGGGAACAGUAAACCCAAAGCACCACUUUCUGAGCCCUAAUCCCUUUAAGGUGCACAGAGGCUGGGGGUCGGU